RNAcentral lists this ribosomal RNA (1185 nucleotides) under metagenome. Its description in RNAcentral is "bacterial SSU rRNA". It matches the Rfam family "Bacterial small subunit ribosomal RNA", at positions 336 to 1520 of the family's 1533-position model. The record is from RNAcentral.
CUCCUACGGGAGGCAGCAGUGGGGAAUUUUCCACAAUGGGCGAAAGCCUGAUGGAGCAAUACCGCGUGAGGGAUGAAGUAUCGUGGUACGUAAACCUCUUUUCUUGACGAAGAAGUUCUGACGGUAGUCAAGGAAUAAGCACCGGCUAACUCCGUGCCAGCAGCCGCGGUAACACGGGGGGUGCAAGCGUUGUCCGGAAUGAUUGGGCGUAAAGCAUCUGUAGGUGGUUUUUAAAGUCGACUGUUAAAGCCCAGGGCUCAACUUUGGAAAAGCGGUCGAGUACUUAAGGACUUGAGUAUGGUAGGGGUAGAGGGAAUUCCUAGUGGAGCGGUGAAAUGCACAGAGAUUAGGAAGAACACCAAGGGCGAAAGCACUCUACUGGGCCAUGACUGACACUGAGAGAUGAAAGUCGGGGGAGCGAAAAGGAUUAGAUACCCUUGUAGUCCCGACCGUAAACGAUGGAUACUAAGUGCUGACAAAAUCAGUGCUGUAGCUAACGCGUUAAGUAUCCCGCCUGGGGAGUAUGCUCGCAAGAGUGAAACUCAAAGGAAUUGACGGGAACUGGCACAAGCGGUGGAUCAUGCGGUUUAAUUCGAUAUACACGAAGAACCUUACCAGGGAUUGACAUGUUCAGAACUUUUGAGAGAUUGAAAGGUGCCUGUAUCUUUGAUAUAGGAGCUGAAACACAGGUGGUGCAUGGCUGUCGUCAGCUCGUGCCGUGAGGUGUCGAGUUAAGUCUUUAAACGAGCGCAACCCUUGUCUUUUGUUACCACUUUUUUGCGUUCUGCGCAGAUUAGGCCUCAAAAGAGACUGCCGGUGUAAACCGGAGGAAGGAGAGGAUGACGUCAAGUCAGCAUGCCCCUUACAUCCUGGGCUACACGCGUAAUACAAUGGCAAGGACAAUAGGACGCGAACCCGUGAGGGGGAGCGAAUCUAGUAAACUUUGUCUCAGUUCGGAUUGAAGUCUGCAACUCGACUUCAUGAAGCCGGAAUCGCUAGUAAUCGCCGGUCAGCUAUACGGCGGUGAAUACGUUCCCCAGUUUUGUACACACCGCCCGUCACAUGCUGGGAGCCAUCUUGUCCCGAAGACAGGUUGCCAACCUUUUUAAGGAAGCGAAUGUCAACGGUUGGGUUGGUCCCUAAUAUGAAGUCGGAACAAGGUAUCCGUACUGGAAGGUGUGGAUG